CUUAUCUCAUUGCAUGGAUCCAAUGCAUCAAACUCGAGUUGAUAUAUGUCCUUAAACUUGAGAUCUAUAUGAUUCAUUUAGUUUGUUUACAAGAGGCGGUUUCAGUUACUGUCAUUUUUAUACAAGUGUAAAUGUGUGACGGUAUAUUUAAAUUGUGAGCUGAUGUUUCCUGGGAAGUUUGUGCUACAGAGAGAAGAUGAGUUUUCGUCACUGGUGGAAAGAGUGCAGAUUGCAGCCAAGGCCCUAUACCACAAGUUGUUCCUAAAAAUAAAUCGAAUAAGCAGUUAACUGAAACUCCUUUAGAAGCUUAUGUGUCUUCUACUCUAUAUGAAGUUGAAGAGGAGAGAGUUGGUGUACCUGUUAAGCGUCGGCUAUAUGAGGAACCAUAAUACUGUUGGUGGACUUGGUGAGGAGACAUUGUUUCCUGUAUACUGGAAUGGAGAUAAUUGGCAUGUGCUGAGAGUCCAGAAACUGUUACCGAUCACUUGGAACUUCCAUAUUAUAACAAGGUCUGGCGCAGAAGAAGGGAUAAACCCUCUGGGUUUUUUGCAUCUCAUGCGGAUUUGAAGGUUCCAGGAAUAUGUUCUCUCUUUACCGGGGAGGAUGAUACUUGGAAAUCUUGGCUUUAACGCGGUUAUGCCAGCUCUCCUAAACCUACGCCAGUUCUCAAAAAUAUUCUGGAAUUAAGUCUCACAUUUCUUUUCUAUCUAAGUUCUAUGAUUUGAAUCAUAUUUCUUGUGCUUCUAUUCAGGAGAACUAGGCCAAGAACUGAAGAGAUCGUAAGAGCUCAAAUCAAGGGUUUGCAGAGGCGCCAAA
Long non-coding RNA from Brassica oleracea var. oleracea, 816 nucleotides. RefSeq lists it as uncharacterized. NCBI's taxonomy places the organism in Eukaryota, Viridiplantae, Streptophyta, Magnoliopsida, Brassicales, Brassicaceae. The transcript has 4 exons. The record is from RefSeq and is a predicted model, not a curated record.